CCUACGGGAGGCAGCAGUGGGGAAUAUUGGACAAUGGGCGAAAGCCUGAUCCAGCAAUGCCGCGUGAGUGAUGAAGGCCUUCGGGUCGUAAAGCUCUUUUACCAGGGAUGAUAAUGACAGUACCUGGAGAAUAAGCUCCGGCUAACUCCGUGCCAGCAGCCGCGGUAAUACGGAGGGAGCUAGCGUUGUUCGGAAUUACUGGGCGUAAAGAGUACGUAGGCGGUUAUUCAAGUCAGAGGUGAAAGCCCGGGGCUCAACCCCGGAACUGCCUUUGAAACUAGAUAACUAGAGUCUUGGAGAGGUUAGUGGAAUUCCGAGUGUAGAGGUGAAAUUCGUAGAUAUUCGGAAGAACACCAGUGGCGAAGGCGACUAACUGGACAAGUACUGACGCUGAGGUACGAAAGCGUGGGGAGCAAACAGGAUUAGAUACCCUGGUAGUCCACGCCGUAAACGAUGAUAACUAGUUGUUCGGUCACUUGGUGACUGAGUGACGCAGCUAACGCAUUAAGUUAUCCGCCUGGGGAGUACGGUCGCAAGAUUAAAACUCAAAGAUAUAGCGNGNGAGAGCGACGACGACGACGACGAGGAGAG
RNAcentral lists this ribosomal RNA (591 nucleotides) under uncultured bacterium. RNAcentral describes it as "bacterial SSU rRNA". It matches the Rfam family "Bacterial small subunit ribosomal RNA", at positions 338 to 945 of the family's 1533-position model. The record is from RNAcentral.